GGCUCAGGACGAACGCUGGCGGCGUGCUUAACACAUGCAAGUCGAGCGGUAAGGCUCCUUCGGGAGUACACGAGCGGCGAACGGGUGAGUAACACGUGAGCAAUCUGCCCUUCACUUUGGGAUAACUACCGGAAACGGUGGCUAAUACCGAAUACGACAACUUCAGGCAUCUGGUGGUUGUGGAAAGUUCUGGCGGUGAAGGAUGAGCUCGCGGCCUAUCAGCUUGUUGGUGAGGUAAUGGCUCACCAAGGCUUCGACGGGUAGCCGGCCUGAGAGGGUGACCGGCCACACUGGGACUGAGACACGGCCCAGACUCCUACGGGAGGCAGCAGUGGGGAAUAUUGGACAAUGGGCGAAAGCCUGAUCCAGCAACGCCGCGUGAGGGAUGACGGCCUUCGGGUUGUAAACCUCUUUCAGCAGGGACGAAGCGAAAGUGACGGUACCUGCAGAAGAAGCACCGGCCAACUACGUGCCAGCAGCCGCGGUAAUACGUAGGGUGCGAGCGUUGUCCGGAAUUAUUGGGCGUAAAGGGCUCGUAGGCGGUUUGUCACGUCGGGAGUGAAAACCAGGUGCUUAACACCUGGCCUGCUUCCGAUACGGGCAGACUAGAGGUAUGCAGGGGAGAACGGAAUUCCUGGUGUAGCGGUGAAAUGCGCAGAUAUCAGGAGGAACACCGGUGGCGAAGGCGGUUCUCUGGGCAUUACCUGACGCUGAGGAGCGAAAGUGUGGGGAGCGAACAGGAUUAGAUACCCUGGUAGUCCACACCGUAAACGUUGGGCGCUAGGUGUGGGACUCAUUCCACGAGUUCCGUGCCGCAGCUAACGCAUUAAGCGCCCCGCCU
Molecule: ribosomal RNA, 841 nt
Filed under: Nocardioides sp.
Lineage: Bacteria; Bacillati; Actinomycetota; Actinomycetes; Propionibacteriales; Nocardioidaceae
Description: bacterial SSU rRNA
Rfam family: Bacterial small subunit ribosomal RNA
Source: RNAcentral